UAAUACGAAGGGGGCGAGCGUUGUUCGGAAUUACUGGGCGUAAAGGGCGCGUAGGCGGCGCACCAAGUCAGGCGUGAAAGCCCCGGGCUCAACCCGGGAACGGCGCUUGGGACUGGUGCGCUCGAGUUCGGGAGAGGAUGGCGGAAUUCCCAGUGUAGAGGUGAAAUUCGUAGAUAUUGGGAAGAACACCGACGGCGCAGGCAGCCAUCUGGACCGACACUGACGCUGAGGCGCGACAGCGUGGGGAGCAAACAGGAUUAGAUACCCUGGUAGUCCACGCCGUAAACGAUGAGUGCUGGGCGUCGGGGGCCCUAGGCCUUCGGUGCCGCAGCUAACGCGUUAAGCACUCCGCCUGGGGAGUACGGCCGCAAGGUUA
This 376-nucleotide ribosomal RNA is filed under the name uncultured bacterium. Its description in RNAcentral is "bacterial SSU rRNA". It matches the Rfam family "Bacterial small subunit ribosomal RNA", at positions 521 to 896 of the family's 1533-position model. The record is from RNAcentral.